GGCCGGUGGAUCUGUGGGCUUUGCAUCGAGGCGGUGAAAGACGAAGUUGUGAGAUCGGGGAAGCUCAUCUCCACCAAAGAAGCUUUGCUCCGACACGCGAGUUUCUGCAGAGAGUUCAGAUCGACAAACCCUCUGGAUGAAACAGAGCAUCCCAUCUCCGCCAUGGGGCGGCUACUGCGGCGGAGCUUGGAUUCUCCUAGGGUGGUCCGGUCAAAUUCAAGUAACGUAAUCGAACUCGG
Molecule: unclassified non-coding RNA, 239 nt
Filed under: Hevea brasiliensis (rubber tree)
Lineage: Eukaryota; Viridiplantae; Streptophyta; Magnoliopsida; Malpighiales; Euphorbiaceae
Source: RNAcentral